CAGCAGCCACGGGAAAACGAAGGGGGCUAGCGUUGCCCGGAAUGACUGGGCGUAAAGGGCGCGUAGGCGGAUUGGUUAGUCAGACGUGAAAUUCCCGGGCUCAACCUGGGGACUGCGUUUGAGACGGCUGAUCUAGAGUUUGGAAGAGGGUCGUGGAAUUCCCAGUGUAGAGGUGAAAUUCGUAGAUAUUGGGAAGAACACCGGUGGCGAAGGCGGCGACCUGGUCCUUGACUGACGCUGAGGCGCGAAAGCGUGGGGAGCAAACAGGAUUAGAUACCCCCGUAGUCCCUGUCUCUUAUAC
This 301-nucleotide ribosomal RNA is filed under the name uncultured bacterium. RNAcentral describes it as "partial 16S ribosomal RNA". It matches the Rfam family "Bacterial small subunit ribosomal RNA", at positions 509 to 807 of the family's 1533-position model. The record is from RNAcentral.